This 216-nucleotide unclassified non-coding RNA is filed under the name uncultured Ganoderma. RNAcentral's name for it is "sequence contains ITS1". Lineage: Eukaryota; Fungi; Basidiomycota; Agaricomycetes; Polyporales; Polyporaceae. The record is from RNAcentral.
UCGAGUUAAUUGACUGGGUUGUAGCUGGCCUUCCGAGGCAUGUGCACGCCCGGCUCAUCCACGCUCUUACACCUGUGCACUUACUGUGGGUUUACGGGUCGUUAAACGGGCUCGUUUAUUCGGGCUUGUUGAGCGCACUUGUUGCCUGCGUUUAUCACACACAAACACUACAAAGUAUUAGAAUGAAUUGGGUAAAUUGGGAUAUACAAUAUCAUA